This 951-nucleotide ribosomal RNA is filed under the name uncultured bacterium. Its description in RNAcentral is "bacterial SSU rRNA". It matches the Rfam family "Bacterial small subunit ribosomal RNA", at positions 1 to 952 of the family's 1533-position model. The record is from RNAcentral.
UAGAGUUUGAUCCUGGCUCAGAUUGAACGCUGGCGGCAGGCUUAACACAUGCAAGUCGAGCGGAGAUGAGGUGCUUGCACCUUAUCUUAGCGGCGGACGGGUGAGUAAUGCUUAGGAAUCUGCCUAUUAGUGGGGGACAACAUUCCGAAAGGAAUGCUAAUACCGCAUACGUCCUACGGGAGAAAGCAGGGGAUCUUCGGACCUUGCGCUAAUAGAUGAGCCUAAGUCGGAUUAGCUAGUUGGUGGGGUAAAGGCCUACCAAGGCGACGAUCUGUAGCGGGUCUGAGAGGAUGAUCCGCCACACUGGGACUGAGACACGGCCCAGACUCCUACGGGAGGCAGCAGUGGGGAAUAUUGGACAAUGGGGGGAACCCUGAUCCAGCCAUGCCGCGUGUGUGAAGAAGGCCUUAUGGUUGUAAAGCACUUUAAGCGAGGAGGAGGCUACUGAGACUAAUACUCUUGGAUAGUGGACGUUACUCGCAGAAUAAGCACCGGCUAACUCUGUGCCAGCAGCCGCGGUAAUACAGAGGGUGCGAGCGUUAAUCGGAUUUACUGGGCGUAAAGCGUGCGUAGGCGGCUUUUUAAGUCGGAUGUGAAAUCCCCGAGCUUAACUUGGGAAUUGCAUUCGAUACUGGGAAGCUAGAGUAUGGGAGAGGAUGGUAGAAUUCCAGGUGUAGCGGUGAAAUGCGUAGAGAUCUGGAGGAAUACCGAUGGCGAAGGCAGCCAUCUGGCCUAAUACUGACGCUGAGGUACGAAAGCAUGGGGAGCAAACAGGAUUAGAUACCCUGGUAGUCCAUGCCGUAAACGAUGUCUACUAGCCGUUGGGGCCUUUGAGGCUUUAGUGGCGCAGCUAACGCGAUAAGUAGACCGCCUGGGGAGUACGGUCGCAAGACUAAAACUCAAAUGAAUUGACGGGGGCCCCCACAAGCGGUGGAGCAUGUGGUUUAAUUC